UCCAUUGGAGCAGCCCUAAUCCCGUUCCUACUUGCCUGCAAGCAGGAGGGGGUGGGGAUCCCUCAGCUGGGAAGGGAGGCUUCCCGUUGCCUACCUGAGAGAUCCCUGCCCCGAUUCCUCUUGCAUGCAAGUAGGAGUUGGGAUCAGGGUUGCUCCGAUAGG
Molecule: non-coding RNA, 162 nt
Organism: Podarcis lilfordi (Lilford's wall lizard)
Lineage: Eukaryota; Metazoa; Chordata; Lepidosauria; Squamata; Lacertidae
Source: the annotation of a GenBank genome assembly